AAGAUGGCCUAACAAAUAACCAGCCAUAAAAAAACCUAAAGAAGCCGUAAAUUUUAGUCAUCCUCCUCAACUUUCAAUUUUCUGUUGUGGAAUUUCUUCAUUGGGUUUGAUCUGCCGCUCACAACAUCCUUGUAGAGGAAUUCAGAGUUCAGGUGAGGAAGAAGAACAGAGAGAGUCAUGAGUUACGUAUUGCCGACAUUGACGAAGAAGCAGGAGGUGGAUUCCUUCAUCCGAUCCACCAUCGACAAAGUCCUCGUCCUCCGCUUCGGCCGCUCCUCCGAUUCCGCUUGCCUUCUCCUCGACGACGUUCUCGCCAAAACGGCGCGGGAGGUCUCCAAGUUCGCCACGGUCGCGCUUGUCGAUGCCGAUUCGGAGGAAAUUCAAGUCUACGUCAAGUAUUUCGACAUCGCUCUGAUCCCGUCUACCAUCUUCUUCUUCAAUGCCCACCACAUGAAGAUGGAUUCCGGAACUGCGGACCACACCAAAUGGGUCGGCCCGUUUCAGCAGAAACAGGACUUUAUCGAUGUUGUCGAGGCGAUUUUCAGAGGAGCGAUGAAGGGGAAGAUGAUCGUGAAUUGCCCCCUUCCACCGGAGCGAAUACCCAAAUACCAGUUGCUCUACAAAGAUGUGUAGAAGCUCUACACAUUAAAGAUAACAAAGAGGAGUAUGUGAGAUGCUAAAUGGGGUGUGUGAAAAUCAUCUCCUUAGAGAUAAUAUUCAUUUUGCCAAUCCGUAUUAGUGAGCAUUAAUUUGUGGAUUUGGAUUGUGUGUUCUUCUUUCGGAGACAACUUUGGUUAAUAGAGUCAGUUACUUGAAUGUGUUUUGUACGUCCAAAUGAGGAGAGAGAGUAAGUUACAUAGAACGGAUUCACUGCCACAGUGGAGUUCUGGCAUUGUAUUAUUGAACCGGGACUUAGUGACAAUGAACCCAUGCCAUAUAGAUACUUGAUCAGAAUGAAGAGCAAACUGCUGUUUUUCAAUUGUGAAUUUGAUCGAAGAAAAUUAACUGGUUUUCUUCUGGAAGGUUGUCUUCUUCGGUUCUCUUAUUUGUAGCUUUGGCACACUUACUAACCUCAAGGAAUUUUUGUUCUCAGCCAUGUUUGAUUUUCUGGAAAAAUUCACCGCUGACGAAGGAAGCAGGGGUUCAUGGCCCUACUACAUGGUUUUGCGCCAGGAAAGGCGAAGGACGUUGGUGAAAUUUUUUUGACAUGGCCAACAUUUUGAAGUUCUAGAGCAUGAUAUACAACUCCAUUUGCACUAGGCCUAGAUUUGUUUGGUAGUCCUAACAGAACUGUAAGCCACCGGACUCACAAGAGUCACCAAGGAGGACAUUUAGAUUGAGCGCUGUUAUUUGUAUCCAUCAGUUCUAUUUUCCGAUUCACCUACUCAUGAAAGUCGUCAUGUGAACGAAUUUGAUAUGUAAACAAUCAAUCUGACACCCUUUCCAAGUGUAAUUUGUGGUGUAUUUCUAUAUGUUUAUAGUAGAGAUGACUUUUCUUGAAA
Molecule: RNA transcript, 1502 nt
Organism: Pyrus x bretschneideri (Chinese white pear)
Lineage: Eukaryota; Viridiplantae; Streptophyta; Magnoliopsida; Rosales; Rosaceae
Gene name: thioredoxin-like protein 4B
Exons: 4
Source: RefSeq, a predicted model, not a curated record